RNAcentral lists this ribosomal RNA (235 nucleotides) under uncultured bacterium. RNAcentral's name for it is "partial 16S ribosomal RNA". It matches the Rfam family "Bacterial small subunit ribosomal RNA", at positions 118 to 348 of the family's 1533-position model. The record is from RNAcentral.
UGAGGAACAUGACCUUCGGCGGGGGAGUAGCCGGCCCAACGGCCGGGUAAUACCGCGUACGACCACAUGGGGACAUCCCUGAGUGGUGAAAGCAGCAAUGCGCCGAUGGAGUGCCUCGCGGCCUAUCAGCUAGUUGGUGAGGUAACGGCUCACCAAGGCGACGACGGGUAGCUGGUCUGAGAGGAUGGCCAGCCACAGUUGGGACUGAGACACGGCCCAGACCUCUACGGGGAGG